AAUCAACGCUGGCGGCGUGCCUCAGACAUGCAAGUCGAACGAUUAAAGCUCUCUUCGGAGAGUGUAUAGAGUGGCGCACGGGUGAGUAACACGUAAGUAAUCUACCCUCGAGUGGGGAAUAACGUCCGGAAACGGACGCUAAUACCGCAUAAUGCAGCGGCACCGCAAGGUGACAGUUGUUAAAGAUUUAUCGCUUGAGGAGGAGCUUGCGGCAGAUUAGCUAGUGGUAAGGUAAUGGCUUACCAAGGCUACGAUCUGUAACCGGUCUAAGAGGACGGUCGGUCACACUGACACUGAAUAACGGGUCAGACUCCUACGGGAGGCAGCAGUCGGGAAUUUUGGGCAAUGGGCGAAAGCCUGACCCAGCAACGCCGCGUGAAGGAUGAAGUAUUUCGGUAUGUAAACUUCGAAAGAAUAGGAAGAAUAAAUGACGGUACUAUUUAUAAGGUCCGGCUAACUACGUGCCAGCAGCCGCCGUAAC
RNAcentral lists this ribosomal RNA (481 nucleotides) under uncultured bacterium. Its description in RNAcentral is "bacterial SSU rRNA". It matches the Rfam family "Bacterial small subunit ribosomal RNA", at positions 32 to 524 of the family's 1533-position model. The record is from RNAcentral.